Chitinophagaceae bacterium is the source of this 47-nucleotide non-coding RNA. Lineage: Bacteria; Pseudomonadati; Bacteroidota; Chitinophagia; Chitinophagales; Chitinophagaceae. The record is from Rfam.
AAAAAGGUUUCUCUCGAAACCAUAGCCAAGAAUAAAGGGUGGAGAAU